UACGUAGGGGGCUAGCGUUGUCCGGAAUCAUUGGGCGUAAAGAGCGUGUAGGCGGUCCGGUAAGUCCGCUGUGAAAGUCGGGGGCUCAACCCUCGAAUGCCGGUGGAUACUGUCGGGCUUGAGUUCGGUAGGGGAGACUGGAAUUCCUGGUGUAGCGGUGAAAUGCGCAGAUAUCAGGAGGAACACCGGUGGCGAAGGCGGGUCUCUGGGCCGAUACUGACGCUGAGGAGCGAAAGCGUGGGGAGCGAACAGG
RNAcentral lists this ribosomal RNA (253 nucleotides) under uncultured bacterium. RNAcentral describes it as "partial 16S ribosomal RNA". It matches the Rfam family "Bacterial small subunit ribosomal RNA", at positions 524 to 776 of the family's 1533-position model. The record is from RNAcentral.